CCCCUAGAUGUUCUGGGCCGCACGCGCGCUACACUGAACAGUUCAACAAGUCUUAACCUUGGCCGAUAGGUCUGGGUAAUCUUUGAACGCUGUUCGUGAUUGGGAUAGACCUUUGCAAUUAUGGGUCUUCAACGAGGAAUUCCUAGUAAACGCAAGUCAUCAGCUUGCAUUGAUUACGUCCCUGCCCUUUGUACACACCGCCCGUCACACCUACCGAUUGAAUGGUCCGGUGAAAUCUCGGGACGGCGGCUUGGUCGCUUGCGUCCGACUGCUGAAACUUGAUUAAACCAUNUNAUUUAGNGGAAGGUGAANUCGUANCA
RNAcentral lists this ribosomal RNA (320 nucleotides) under uncultured eukaryote. RNAcentral's name for it is "partial 18S ribosomal RNA". It matches the Rfam family "Eukaryotic small subunit ribosomal RNA", at positions 1470 to 1796 of the family's 1831-position model. The record is from RNAcentral.